Molecule: ribosomal RNA, 500 nt
Filed under: uncultured bacterium
Lineage: Bacteria
Description: bacterial SSU rRNA
Rfam family: Bacterial small subunit ribosomal RNA
Source: RNAcentral
UCAGGAUGAACGCUAGCGACAGGCCUAACACAUGCAAGUCAGGGGCAGCACAAGGAGCAAUCUGAGGUGGCGACCGGCGCACGGGUGAGUAACACGUAUGCAACCUGCCUGUAAGCGGGGAAUAACCCGUUGAAAGACGGACUAAUACCGCAUAAUACUAAAUUACUGCAUGGUAAUUUAUUUAAACAUUUAUGGCUUACAGAUGGGCAUGCGCAUGAUUAGCUAGUUGGAGAGGUAACGGCUCCCCAAGGCAACGAUCAUUAGGGGUUCUGAGAGGAAGGUCCCCCCACACUGGUACUGAGACACGGACCAGACUCCUACGGGAGGCAGCAGUGAGGAAUAUUGGUCAAUGGACGAGAGUCUGAACCAGCCAAGUCGCGUGCAGGAAGAAUUGUCCUAUGGAUUGUAAACUGCUUUUGCAGGGGAAUAAAGUGCAUCACGUGUGAUGUUUUGUAUGUACUCUGCGAAUAAGGAUCGGCUAACUCCGUGCCAGCCGCCGC